GGUGAACGCUGGCGGCGUGCCUAAUACAUGCAAGUCGAACGCUUCACUUCGGUGAAGAGUGGCGAACGGGUGAGUAAUACAUAAGUAACCUGGCAUCUACAGGGGGAUAACUGAUGGAAACGUCAGCUAAGACCGCAUAGGUGUAGGGAUCGCAUGAACUCUAUAUGAAAAGUGCUACGGGACUGGUAGAUGAUGGACUUAUGGCGCAUUAGCUGGUUGGUAGGGUAACGGCCUACCAAGGCGACGAUGCGUAGCCGACCUGAGAGGGUGACCGGCCACACUGGGACUGAGACACGGCCCAGACUCCUACGGGAGACGGCAGUAGGGAAUUUUCGGCAAUGGGGGAAACCCUGACCGAGCAACGCCGCGUGAAGGAAGAAGUAAUUCGUUAUGUAAACUUCUGUCAUAGAGGAAGAACGGUGGAUAUAGGGAAUGAUAUCCAAGUGACGGUACUCUAUAAGAAAGCCACGGCUAACUACGUGCCAGCAGCCGCCGUAA
Molecule: ribosomal RNA, 498 nt
Filed under: uncultured bacterium
Lineage: Bacteria
Description: partial 16S ribosomal RNA
Rfam family: Bacterial small subunit ribosomal RNA
Source: RNAcentral